AUAGUGAAGCCCAGAGAGCAUUUGGAGCAGUCCGAUAAACGACUGAAGGAGCUCGUUAUCGGAGAAGUCUGGAGGGUACGAUAGGAGUUCGUCCAUUGGAGAAAUUUGGAGGACACCAUGGAAGGUCGACUACUGGAGGAGUCCGGAUGGUAUUGUGGAAGCUCGGACGGUCGGGGGAGUUCGAAAAGAUGUUGCUCAAGGUC
RNAcentral lists this long non-coding RNA (203 nucleotides) under Elaeis guineensis (African oil palm). RNAcentral's name for it is "long non-coding RNA (EGUI_LNC066495)". The record is from RNAcentral. Lineage: Eukaryota; Viridiplantae; Streptophyta; Magnoliopsida; Arecales; Arecaceae.